This 72-nucleotide transfer RNA is filed under the name Ictidomys tridecemlineatus (thirteen-lined ground squirrel). RNAcentral's name for it is "Spermophilus tridecemlineatus (thirteen-lined ground squirrel) tRNA". It matches the Rfam family "tRNA". Rfam says of the family: Transfer RNA (tRNA) molecules are approximately 80 nucleotides in length. Their secondary structure includes four short double-helical elements and three loops (D, anti-codon, and T loops). Lineage: Eukaryota; Metazoa; Chordata; Mammalia; Rodentia; Sciuridae. The record is from Rfam by way of RNAcentral.
GGGGAUGUAGCUCAGUGGUAGAGUGUUUGCCUAGCAUGCAUGAUGCCCUGGGUUCAAUCUCCAAUGCUUCCA